UGUCAUGUUUUCUAUUUUUAUUGAUAUGUCUUGAGUUCCUCUUUCCUUUCAACUGCCACUUUGAAGUACCUUUCUCUAUCCUCUGACUGAUAUUAUUCACGUGAGUAGCUGCUGAACUGGUAGAACCAGAUUCAUUGAGUACCUCAUUUUUCAGAGAUACAGCCUCUGCUUGACUACUUUGACUAGAUUGCCUCCCCAAUCCACCAACUUGAUGCUUUCCUGAGGAAGACACAACCAUAGGAGAAAAACCUGCUGAGUGUUUAUCCUCCCCAACAAAUGGCACAUCAAAUAACCUGUCUAAUGAAUCAUUCUCGGUAAAUCCUGAUACACCAGGAGCAUCAUUCUCUGUUCUCAACUUGUAAUCAAUGUGGGAAGCAUCGAAAGCAUGUUCGGAAGGAUUCAAAGAUGCACCAUUCUCACAUGAAACUCCAGUACUAUCUGAGUUAUUAUUAACUACAACACAAAUGCUUUUUCUAGACUCAUUAGAAUCUAUACCAGAAACCUUGCUGUCAGAAAAUCCAUUAAGAGGUGAGCCACUUGAAUUGGGAAGUCGAUCACAAAUAACUGGAACAGAUACCAUCGCUGUAUUCUCCAAUAC
Molecule: unclassified non-coding RNA, 598 nt
Filed under: Hevea brasiliensis (rubber tree)
Lineage: Eukaryota; Viridiplantae; Streptophyta; Magnoliopsida; Malpighiales; Euphorbiaceae
Source: RNAcentral